AGUGCUGUCACAGUAUCCAUUAUUGAUAUCAUCUUUUACAGUACUUCUAUUAUUUAUACAAUAAGCUGGUUAUGCAUUUCUUAUUCAGACCCCAAAGGAACGGGUACCUCCUUGGUGCAAAACAAGAUGCUGGGAGGUCCUUCUAUUUUCAGCAUCGCUUUGGUAUCAUGAAAAUCCACUGGACAGGACUCUUGCAGCAGCAUUGCCACAGCUCAGGGAAAUGAUGUGGCUUCAUCAUGAGGAUUGCAACACAAAAUGUAAAUUCAACUAGCACUAAGCUUAUGGAUUUGGGCUGGCAUCUUUGCUACAGCAGAAUUCACCAGUACCUCUGCUCUUACAAGAAUACAACAAAAACACUGAGAACCACUGAGGUGGAGGUGGAGUAGCAUUUAUCUCUAAAAAAAAAAAGUUUUCAAGGGAGUGAGUUUCUCUGUUCCAAAUAACCUGUACUCUUUGGGUGAAACCAAUAUAAUAAUAUUCUCAUGAGACUGCAAAGCCUUUCCGAUUUUGGGACCCCAAAGCAGCACAGUCCUUUUAUAUGUCAAAUACCCACUAUGGCAACUGUGAAACUCAAUGCCACUUUGAUAUACAGCUGCUCUUGCCUUAGGGCUCAAGGCAGGAUAGCUUUACUAUAAAGGUGCCAGAUCCAGAAUCACAACUAACAUCUUGCACUUUCCACACCAGUGGUCCCUCGAGGCUUGAGGAAGAAACUGGGCUGGGAAUAACAAGGUAUCCGAACAGUUGGUGACUCACUAAAAGUCUGUGGUCUGAGAUAUUGACAGUCUGCCAACAAUUUUAUCAUAGUUGUCAGUGAGAGGAAAGAUAAGAACAAAACCACAAAGUGUUGUUGAUUUUUAAAGGUCAGCAUACUUAUGGUUCAAAGUCACUGUGGGAGGAAUCUUCUGGUGUUUCACAGAGAUUUCACUAAAAAAGGGAUAAGCCAAAGAAAUGUGGCUUACCUGCUCUUAAUAUAAAAUACCUAUAAACUAGUGUUCUGCAUACAGGCAAACCUUGUCUAUCAGUGGUCUAAAUUUAACUACAUAUUCUUCUUUGUAUUUCCAAUGUUGAAUUAUCUUGAACUUCUAAACAUUUCUCAUCAAAGGAAUGCCAAAUUUAUGGAAAUAUUUGCUUGUGCAUUUUAUUGUUUCUCAUCCCAAAAGUGGUAUGAGAUAAGCUUGUGCAAUGGGACUACCAGGAAGCAGCCAAUGAACCACAAGUGCUUGUAGUUCAUCAUCUGUAUUGAGGAAGAUGAAAGAGCUCCAGGAGUUAACAGUUAUGUCUGAAAAUCGUGCUUUCCUUUUAUUGUAGUCCUACUCAUCUUUACCAAAUUGACAAAAUUGCAUUCAACUAGUAAAAAAGUGCUGGUAAUUGCUCACAUUAAUGUAUCUAAUAUCCCUGUGGGUUUCAUUUUACA
Molecule: long non-coding RNA, 1414 nt
Organism: Empidonax traillii (willow flycatcher)
Lineage: Eukaryota; Metazoa; Chordata; Aves; Passeriformes; Tyrannidae
Exons: 3
Source: RefSeq, a predicted model, not a curated record